GACGAACGCUGGCGGCGUGCUUAACACAUGCAAGUCGAACGGAAAGGCCCUGCUUUUGUGGGGUGCUCGAGUGGCUAACGGGUGAGUAACACGUGAGUAACCUGCCCUUGACUUUGGGAUAACUUCAGGAAACUGGGGCUAAUACCGGAUAGGAGCUCCUGCUGCAUGGUGGGGGUUGGAAAGUUUCGGCGGUUGGGGAUGGACUCGCGGCUUAUCAGCUUGUUGGUGGGGUAGUGGCUUACCAAGGCUUUGACGGGUAGCCGGCCUGAGAGGGUGACCGGCCACAUUGGGACUGAGAUACGGCCCAGACUCCUACGGGAGGCAGCAGUGGGGAAUAUUGCACAAUGGGCGGAAGCCUGAUGCAGAAACGCCGCGUGCGGGAUGACGGCCUUCGGGUUGUAAACCGCUUUCGCCUGUGACGAAGCGUGAGUGACGGUAAUGGGUAAAGAAGCACCGGCUAACUACGUG
RNAcentral lists this ribosomal RNA (468 nucleotides) under uncultured bacterium. RNAcentral describes it as "partial 16S ribosomal RNA". It matches the Rfam family "Bacterial small subunit ribosomal RNA", at positions 28 to 507 of the family's 1533-position model. The record is from RNAcentral.